CGUCUCAUAACAUGGAAGACUGGCACAGCUACAUUCCUGGAACACUUAGUUUCUGACUCACAGAGAAUUCUAAAGUCCAUUCUGAGACCAAAGGGAUUUCAACCCUGAUGAGUAAAUAGAGAAGAGAUUCAAAGACAAGGGGCUUCAAGAUGCUGUUGAUUCUGUAUGAACAUGAAGGGCUUCGGCAUGCAGUUACAGUUGGUAGAGAGGAGGAAGAGGCUAUUGGCAUGAUGCAAAUCCUACAAAUAAUAGGAAAACUUACAGGACAAAGGACAUGAACUGAAGCAUGAAAAUUCAAAUCUAGAAUUCUUGAAUAUAAGCUGAGUAGAACAAGGUAGGAGUGAUGUCAUCUUCGACAGCCACCUAAAUGUCUUCCAUACAAUAUU
This 386-nucleotide long non-coding RNA is filed under the name Manacus vitellinus (golden-collared manakin). Its description in RNAcentral is "lncRNA (ENSMVIG00005000156.1)". The record is from RNAcentral. Lineage: Eukaryota; Metazoa; Chordata; Aves; Passeriformes; Pipridae.